UCCCCGCUUGUCCCGUCCAAACGUUCGGCAUAAAACAUGUUUGAAGUCAACAUUAUGACAUUUAAGUAUUUUUUAAGCUAACGUUUGUUGUUUUCGGUGACAUGGACGCGGAUCGGUGACGUCAUUUUUGCCCUUAAUGGCUGCCGUCUCUCGUGUGAUAGGACAAGGACGUUUAUUGGACAAAGUAUGGACAGAACUGUCAGGCAGGAUGGAAUACACAGUGAGGACAAAUGAGAAGAACGGGAAAAAACUAAGACAGCCUCAUCUCUUCGCUCUUUACCUCAUAUCGACUUUCUCUUGCUCCGUCUGUCUCACUCUUUUUCCGUCUCUCUCUCUGAGCUCCUGUCUCUCAUUUAGUGCUGUCAGCAUACUGUCCAUACUUUCUCCUACUCGUGUUUUUAUUGGGGUGUAGCUCUAUACGUAGCUUGUUCGCUCUCUCAGGACAGGUGGGGAGGUGUUACCGUAGGUCUUGGGACCAUUUUAUCUGACCUGGUCAAUUUCGUCCAAUAUUUUUGAUAAUUCGCUUUUCCGUUUGCGCCGAGAACACUCCAGUAUUGACGCCAACGCUCUGCAUUUCUUUUCAUCCCCAUCUCUUUCUCAUCUGUCCACCCCCCCUUCUCUCUUUCUCUCUUUCCUCUCAUCCUCAAAUUCUCAAACGCUGAAUCAGCUGCUUGGGAACGGACGCUCCCCCUGCCUCUUGGAUCCACAAACAAGCUGCUUCUCCCUGGUUCUACAAUGUCCUUCUCCUUUCCUGAGUUUGGGAUUCUGGCACACACAGAAGUCUCAUCCUAAAAUGCUUUGCUAAAGCUGGUAAAAUGGAACCAAAUCAACUGUUUUAUGGAUUUGGUCCCCUUCAACCAGCUGUAGCUGUGCAUUGAUCACCCCGUAGAGCUGUGAUGAAGAAAGGGAGGCGUUCAAAAGCACAAUAUUUGAUUGUGCGUGAAGUUCACAGUGCAGGACCGGCUGUUGAAUGCAUGUUCCUUUAAGCACUAAUAUCAUGAUUAAACACUCUUUGUCCUCUUAAAGCCUAGGUGAGUAGUAUAUAUGCCAUGUCACUUAUUAUUUAUGAGCUAUAAUUGUUGAUUAUGUAUUCAAGCCAAAUCACUAUCAUUGGAAAGAGGGCUCUGGGCUCUUUAUGGCUGCCCAUUGAUUUCUUGUCUCUCUGCUGAAAGAGUGAGGGGAGGGUGGGGGUGUAGAAGAUGAGGGAGUAGGUGCGUGUCAAGCUGUUGAAUAAGUAAAACAGUCGUUCCUUUUCUCUCUCUUUUCCUUCUACACUUGUCGUGAUUCUUAAUGCACAUGGCUGAUCAAUAAACGCUCAUCCUGAAGUUCA
Molecule: long non-coding RNA, 1330 nt
Organism: Puntigrus tetrazona (Sumatra barb)
Lineage: Eukaryota; Metazoa; Chordata; Actinopteri; Cypriniformes; Cyprinidae
Exons: 2
Source: RefSeq, a predicted model, not a curated record